Molecule: ribosomal RNA, 496 nt
Filed under: uncultured bacterium
Lineage: Bacteria
Description: partial 16S ribosomal RNA
Rfam family: Bacterial small subunit ribosomal RNA
Source: RNAcentral
AUGAACGCUGGCGGCGUGCCUAAUACAUGCAAGUCGAGCGAACGGACGAGAAGCUUGCUUCUCUGAUGUUAGCGGCGGACGGGUGAGUAACACGUGGAUAACCUACCUAUAAGACUGGGAUAACUUCGGGAAACCGGAGCUAAUACCGGAUAAUAUUUUGAACCGCAUGGUUCAAAAGUGAAAGACGGUCUUGCUGUCACUUAUAGAUGGAUCCGCGCUGCAUUAGCUAGUUGGUAAAGUAACGGCUUACCAAGGCAACGAUGCAUAGCCGACCUGAGAGGGUGAUCGGCCACACUGGAACUGAGACACGGUCCAGACUCCUACGGGAGGCAGCAGUAGGGAAUCUUCCGCAAUGGGCGAAAGCCUGACGGAGCAACGCCGCGUGAGUGAUGAAGGUCUUCGGAUCGUAAAACUCUGUUAUUAGGGAAGAACAUAUGUGUAAGUAACUGUGCACAUCUUGACGGUACCUAAUCAGAAAGCCACGGCUAACUACGUG